GACGAACGCUGGCGGCGUGCCUAAUACAUGCAAGUCGAGCGAAUCUUAAGGUGCUUGCACCUUUUGGUUAGCGGCGGACGGGUGAGUAACACGUGGGCAACCUGCCUGUAAGACUGGGAUAACUUCGGGAAACCGGAGCUAAUACCGGAUAAUUCCUUCCCUCUCAUGAGGGAAGGCUGAAAGACGGCGUAAGCUGUCAUUUACAGAUGGGCCCGCGGCGCAUUAGCUAGUUGGUGAGGUAACGGCUCACCAAGGCGACGAUGCGUAGCCGACCUGAGAGGGUGAUCGGCCACACUGGGACUGAGACACGGCCCAGACUCCUACGGGAGGCAGCAGUAGGGAAUCUUCCGCAAUGGACGAAAGUCUGACGGAGCAACGCCGCGUGAGCGAUGAAGGCCUUCGGGUCGUAAAGCUCUGUUGUUAGGGAAGAACAAGUACCGGAGUAACUGCCGGUACCUUGACGGUACCUAACCAGAAAAGCACGGCUAACUACGUGCCAGCAGCCGCGGUAAUACGUAGGUGGCAGCGUUGUCCGGAUUAUUGGGGCGUAAGCGCGCGCAGCGGUCCUUUAAGUCUGAUGGGAAGCCCACGGCUCACCGUGAAGGUCAUUGGAACUGGGGG
Molecule: ribosomal RNA, 621 nt
Filed under: uncultured Bacillota bacterium
Lineage: Bacteria; Bacillati; Bacillota
Description: bacterial SSU rRNA
Rfam family: Bacterial small subunit ribosomal RNA
Source: RNAcentral